CUGGACACAGGUGCUGCGUGGCUGUCGUCCGCUCGUGUCGUGAGAUGUUGGGUUAACUCCCGCAACGAGCGCCCCCCUUGUCAUUAGUUGCCAUCAUUCAGUUGGGCACUCUAAUGAAACUGCCGGUGACAAACCGGAGGAAGGGGGGGAUGACUUCAAGUCCUCAUGGCCCUUAUGGGUGGGGCUUCACACGUCAUACAAGGGUCGGUACAGAGGGUUGCCAACCCGCGGGGGGGAGCCAAUCCCAAAAAGCCGAUCGUAUUCCGGAUCGCACUCUGCAACUCCACUGCGUGAAGUCAGAAUCGCUAGUAAUCGCGGAUCACCAUGCCGCGG
Molecule: ribosomal RNA, 333 nt
Filed under: uncultured bacterium
Lineage: Bacteria
Description: partial 16S ribosomal RNA
Rfam family: Bacterial small subunit ribosomal RNA
Source: RNAcentral